ACUCACUCUCUAUUAGAACUGCUUUAGUAAGUUCACUGCAUCUUCUCAACAACCUGUGACAGUCAUCAUGGUCUUCACUGUGCUGGCAAGAGUUCUUCUUGGGGUUAUUUUGCUUUGUUUUAUUCAAAAUGUGAUAAAUGAAGAGGUGGACAUUGAAACCCUGUCAAGGCUUAAACAAUAUUUUCACAUUUAUGAUAAAGGCCAGUAUGCAGUGGCCAUCAAUGUUCCGAAAGAGCAGUGUCAAAGUGGUUUCGAACCAUCAAAAGACAACUUUCUGACAAAGGAGAACUGGGACGAUGUUACAAUACAACGUAACAGUAAGAAAGUCUACGAAGGCACUGAACUCAUUGCUGCGGGUGUUCAUAAAGAAGCACAUUCAGAGUAUUUACUGAUGAAUCCUGAAAAUAAUUCUCCUUUGACACGCUUGUUGAAUAACAAGAAUAGAUGUGUUGUUUUCUACACUUUAAACUCACCCUGUGUAGGCAAGUGUCUUUAUAACAAAGUUGUACUUGCAGGUCUUAAAGAAUUACAGAAAUAUCAGGGAAUGAAAGCCUUUGUUUACACAAAUAUAUAUACAGAAGAUCAGACAGACCCAGAACUACGUGCUGAACUGAAAACGAUUGCUGAUCUUGUGCCACUUUACCGCUGUAAAGGAAACAGUUGUAUCUCUUGUGGACAAGAUGUGAUAGAUGCAUGUU
This 698-nucleotide long non-coding RNA is filed under the name Danio rerio (zebrafish). Its description in RNAcentral is "lncRNA si:dkey-96g2.4 (ENSDARG00000097223.2)". Lineage: Eukaryota; Metazoa; Chordata; Actinopteri; Cypriniformes; Danionidae. The record is from RNAcentral.